CAGGAACGCCGGGCAGCCGCGCGGCGUCAUUUUAUGACGAGCGAGGAAGGUCCGAACUCUUUGGGACAAUAAGGCCAGAGAAAUCUGGAGGCCGCAAGGCCAUGGAAAGCGCCGCAGAAAAUAUACCGCCUUUUGUAUGUUCAGGGCCUGCCCUGAGCCUGUCGAAGGGUAAGGGUGAAAUGGCGAGGUAAGAGCUCACCGCGUUUCUUGAGAAAGAGACGGCAUGGCAAGCCCCCUUAAAGAGCAAUUUCAAGCAGUUUCGCAAAUGUCCCUGUGCCCUGUCGGGCGGCGAAACGGGUAGAAAGCAAAGAUUUUUACGGUAUAACGUAAAGACAAGAUAAAUGGCUGCCGUCUGCGUUUGCAGAUACAGAAUUCGGCCUACAGGCGUUCCUAUUUU
RNAcentral lists this RNase P RNA (397 nucleotides) under Spirochaetia bacterium. Its description in RNAcentral is "RNase P RNA component class A". It matches the Rfam family "Bacterial RNase P class A". From Rfam's summary of the family: Ribonuclease P (RNase P) is a ubiquitous endoribonuclease, found in archaea, bacteria and eukarya as well as chloroplasts and mitochondria. Its best characterised activity is the generation of mature 5'-ends of tRNAs by cleaving the 5'-leader elements of precursor-tRNAs. Cellular RNase Ps are ribonucleoproteins. Lineage: Bacteria; Pseudomonadati; Spirochaetota; Spirochaetia. The record is from RNAcentral.